RNAcentral lists this ribosomal RNA (497 nucleotides) under uncultured bacterium. Its description in RNAcentral is "partial 16S ribosomal RNA". It matches the Rfam family "Bacterial small subunit ribosomal RNA", at positions 28 to 507 of the family's 1533-position model. The record is from RNAcentral.
GACGAACGCUGGCGGCGUGCCUAAUACAUGCAAGUAGAACGCUGAAGCGAGGAGCUUGCUCUUCUUGGAUGAGUUGCGAACGGGUGAGUAACGCGUAGGUAACCUGCCUUGUAGCGGGGGAUAACUAUUGGAAACGAUAGCUAAUACCGCAUAACAAUGGAUGACACAUGUCAUUUAUUUGAAAGGGGCAAUUGCUCCACUACAAGAUGGACCUGCGUUGUAUUAGCUAGUAGGUGAGGUAAUGGCUCACCUAGGCGACGAUACAUAGCCGACCUGAGAGGGUGGUCGGCCACACUGGGACUGAGACACGGCCCAGACUCCUACGGGAGGCAGCAGUAGGGAAUCUUCGGCAAUGGGGGCAACCCUGACCGAGCAACGCCGCGUGAGUGAAGAAGGUUUUCGGAUCGUAAAGCUCUGUUGUAAGUCAAGAACGGGUGUGAGAGUGGAAAGUUCACACUGUGACGGUAGCUUACCAGAAAGGGACGGCUAGCUACGUG